RNAcentral lists this ribosomal RNA (251 nucleotides) under uncultured prokaryote. RNAcentral's name for it is "partial 16S ribosomal RNA". It matches the Rfam family "Bacterial small subunit ribosomal RNA", at positions 525 to 775 of the family's 1533-position model. The record is from RNAcentral.
ACGUAGGGUGCGAGCGUUAAUCGGAAUUACUGGGCGUAAAGGGCGUGUAGGCGGCACGGUAAGUCAACCGUGAAAGCUCCCGGCUAAACUGGGAGAGGUCGGAUGAGACUGCCGAGCUAGAGGGUCGUAGAGGGGUGUGGAAUUCCGGGGGUAGUGGUGAAGUGCGUAGAGAUCCGGAGGAACACCAGAGGCGAAGGCGGCACCCUGGACGACACCAGACGCUGAGACGCGACAGCACGGGGAGCGAGCGG